Pangasianodon gigas (Mekong giant catfish) is the source of this 75-nucleotide non-coding RNA. NCBI's taxonomy places the organism in Eukaryota, Metazoa, Chordata, Actinopteri, Siluriformes, Pangasiidae. The record is from the annotation of a GenBank genome assembly.
GGCAGUGGUAGCUCAGUGGUUCAGCUUUUGGGCUACUAAUCAGAAGGUUCAUGAGUUCAAACCCCAGCAUUGCCA